This 468-nucleotide ribosomal RNA is filed under the name uncultured bacterium. Its description in RNAcentral is "partial 16S ribosomal RNA". It matches the Rfam family "Bacterial small subunit ribosomal RNA", at positions 28 to 507 of the family's 1533-position model. The record is from RNAcentral.
GACGAACGCUGGCGGCGUGCUUAACACAUGCAAGUCGAACGGAAAGGCCCUGCUUUUGUGGGGUGCUCGAGUGGCGAACGGGUGAGUAACACGUGAGUAACCUGCCCUUGACUUUGGGAUAACUUCAGGAAACUGGGGCUAAUACCGGAUAGGAGCUCCUGCUGCAUGGUGGGGGUUGGAAAGUUUCGGCGGUUGGGGAUGGACUCGCGGCUUAUCAGCUUGUUGGUGGGGUAGUGGCUUACCAAGGCUUUGACGGGUAGCCGGCCUGAGAGGGUGACCGGCCACAAUGGGACUGAGAGACGGCCCAGACUCCUACGGGAGGCAGCAGUGGGGAAUAUUGCACAAUGGGGGGAAGCCUGAUGCAGCAACGUCGCGUGCGGGAUGACGGCCUUCGGGGUGGAAACCGCUUUCGCCUGUGACGAAGCGUGAGUGACGGUAAUGAGUAAAGAAGCACCGGCUAACUACGUG